UCUCCUACGGGAGGCAGCAGUGGGGAAUAUUGGACAAUGGGCGCAAGCCUGAUCCAGCCAUGCCGCGUGGGUGAAGAAGGCCUUAGGGUUGUAAACCCCUUUCAGCGGGGAAGAUAAUGACGGUACCCGCAGAAGAAGCCCCGGCUAACUCCGUGCCAGCAGCCGCGGUAAUACGGAGGGGGCUAGCGUUGUUCGGAAUUACUGGGCGUAAAGCGCGCGUAGGCGGACCUGCAAGUCGGGGGUGAAAGCCCGAGGCUCAACCUCGGAACUGCCUUCGAUACUGCGGGUCUCGAGUCCGGGAGAGGUGAGUGGAAUUCCUAGUGUAGAGGUGAAAUUCGUAGAUAUUAGGAAGAACACCAGUGGCGAAGGCGGCUCACUGGCCCGGUACUGACGCUGAGGCGCGAAAGCGUGGGGAGCAAACAGGAUUAGAUACCCGAGUAGUCG
This 444-nucleotide ribosomal RNA is filed under the name uncultured Hyphomicrobiaceae bacterium. RNAcentral describes it as "bacterial SSU rRNA". It matches the Rfam family "Bacterial small subunit ribosomal RNA", at positions 335 to 796 of the family's 1533-position model. Lineage: Bacteria; Pseudomonadati; Pseudomonadota; Alphaproteobacteria; Hyphomicrobiales; Hyphomicrobiaceae. The record is from RNAcentral.